GACGAACGCUGGCGGCGUGCCUAAUACAUGCAAGUAGAACGCUGAAGGAGGAGCUUGCUUCUCUGGAUGAGUUGCGAACGGGUGAGUAACGCGUAGGUAACCUGCCUGGUAGCGGGGGAUAACUAUUGGAAACGAUAGCUAAUACCGCAUAAUAGCAGUUGUUGCAUGACAACUGUUUGAAAGGUGCAAUUGCACCACUACCAGAUGGACCUGCGUUGUAUUAGCUAGUUGGUGGGGUAACGGCUCACCAAGGCGACGAUACAUAGCCGACCUGAGAGGGUGAUCGGCCACACUGGGACUGAGACACGGCCCAGACUCCUACGGGAGGCAGCAGUAGGGAAUCUUCGGCAAUGGACGGAAGUCUGACCGAGCAACGCCGCGUGAGUGAAGAAGGUUGUCGGAUCGUAAAGCUCUGUUGUAAGAGAAGAACGAGUGUGAGAGUGGAAAGUUCACACUGUGACGGUAUCUUACCAGAAAGGGACGGCUAACUACGUG
RNAcentral lists this ribosomal RNA (495 nucleotides) under uncultured bacterium. Its description in RNAcentral is "partial 16S ribosomal RNA". It matches the Rfam family "Bacterial small subunit ribosomal RNA", at positions 28 to 507 of the family's 1533-position model. The record is from RNAcentral.